CCAUUUGUGGCUCAGUGGUCAAUGUUCCAGUCUAUGGAUCAUAGAGUCCCAGGUUCAAGCCCUGCCGGAAACA
Molecule: transfer RNA, 73 nt
Filed under: Anguilla anguilla (European eel)
Lineage: Eukaryota; Metazoa; Chordata; Actinopteri; Anguilliformes; Anguillidae
Description: tRNA-OTHER
Source: RNAcentral